UACGGCGAGUGAGCGGCAAAAGCUCAAAUUUGAAAUCUAGCACCUUCGGUGUUCGAGUUGUAAUUUGAAGAUGGUAACCUUGGGUUUGGCUCUUGUCUAUGUUCCUUGGAACAGGACGUCAUAGAGGGUGAGAAUCCCGUCUGAUGAGAUGCCCAUUCCUAUGUAAGGUGCUAUCGAAGAGUCGAGUUGUUUGGGAAUGCAGCUCUAAGUGGGUGGUAAAUUCCAUCUAAAGCUAAAUAUUGGCGAGAGACCGAUAGCGAACAAGUACAGUGAUGGAAAGAUGAAAAGAACUUUGAAAAGAGAGUGAAAAAGUACGUGAAAUUGUUGAAAGGGAAGGGCAUUAGAUCAGACUUGGUGUUUUACGAUUAUCUUCUCUUCUUGAGUUGUGCACUCGUAUUUCACUGGGCCAGCAUCGAUUCGGAUGGCAAGAUAAUGGCAGUUGAAUGUGGCUUCACUUCGGUGGAGUGUUAUAGCUUCUGCUGAUAUUGCCUGUCUGGAUCGAGGGCUGCGUCUUUUGACUAGGAUGCUGGCGUAAUGAUCUAAUGCCGCCCGUCUU
RNAcentral lists this ribosomal RNA (556 nucleotides) under Wickerhamomyces sp. W8Y6. RNAcentral's name for it is "eukaryotic LSU rRNA". It matches the Rfam family "Eukaryotic large subunit ribosomal RNA", at positions 85 to 655 of the family's 3401-position model. RNAcentral also lists the same sequence under 1 other name. The record is from RNAcentral. Lineage: Eukaryota; Fungi; Ascomycota; Saccharomycetes; Phaffomycetales; Wickerhamomycetaceae.